RNAcentral lists this long non-coding RNA (853 nucleotides) under Polistes fuscatus (common paper wasp). RNAcentral describes it as "uncharacterized LOC122524574, transcript variant X1". Lineage: Eukaryota; Metazoa; Arthropoda; Insecta; Hymenoptera; Vespidae. The record is from RNAcentral.
GGUGGGAAAAGGGGUCCGGGGGAUCGAAGGGUAGGAAACGAGGGAUAGUGCGCUUGCAAGCGUAACCCGGUCAGAGCGAGUGGGGUGGUGACGGUGGGGUGAAAGGGGGCGGAAGGGGGUGGAAGAGGGUGUUUCGAGGAGAACGGAUAGUCACCGAAUCCUUCGGGGGUGUGUAUCCGUGUGAACGCUUUAGCAACGUUGCUGACGGUGACUAGGAUAAUGGUAGUAGUGUUGAUAGUAGUCCUAGUACUGGUAUUAGUAAUGGUAAUGGUGUUAGUGUUGGCGAUGGCGAUGGUAGUGAACGUAUAUUAUCGUGAAGCUUUUUCCGUGUCGGUGUGCUUGUGCGCGGCACCUAAAGAGAGUUAGACUGUAUUGGUAGCUUCGAUAAUUCCCCCAGACCCCGUUCUUCCAUUCGCCAGACUCGCGCGAGCGCCAUACCGAACCUUUCACGUUCACGUGUAUAUUUCUACAAAAAGCUAGGAGCGUGGUGGAUGUGAGAGCGCAGUGUGCCGAGUCGCUCAGUCCGCUUUAGGUGGGAUGAGUUCGAAGCAACCUCCACGUGAACUCGCUCUACACACCCACCUAAUGUAUAUGUACUUUAUAUACAUAUAUUAUAUAUAUAUAUACAUAUAUACGUAUGUACAUAGAGAGAAUGCUUGAGACAGGGUGCGCACGCGCAGACGGUAAACUCUCGCUUGUGUUCGAGCACGAACGUGUGCCACUCUCGUCUAUCGAAUAGGGGUGGUUCCAACUAACACAUACAUAGAACUAACGAAUAACCGAAAGACUUAUUAACGUGAUAUCACUUAACUUGGUUUUUGUGAACGUUAGAAUAAAUAUAUUAUUUUAGAGA